GCCCGCAUAGCUCCAACGGUAGAGCAAUCCCAUGGUAAGGGAGAGGUUGCAAGUUCAAAUCUUGCUGUGGGCACCA
This 76-nucleotide transfer RNA is filed under the name Halarcobacter anaerophilus. RNAcentral's name for it is "Arcobacter anaerophilus tRNA-Thr". It matches the Rfam family "tRNA". Rfam says of the family: Transfer RNA (tRNA) molecules are approximately 80 nucleotides in length. Their secondary structure includes four short double-helical elements and three loops (D, anti-codon, and T loops). Further hydrogen bonds mediate the characteristic L-shaped molecular structure. tRNAs have two regions of fundamental functional importance: the anti-codon, which is responsible for specific mRNA codon recognition, and the 3' end, to which the tRNAs corresponding amino acid is attached (by aminoacyl-tRNA synthetases). tRNAs cope with the degeneracy of the genetic code in two manners: having more than one tRNA (with a specific anti-codon) for a particular amino acid; and 'wobble' base-pairing, i.e. permitting non-standard base-pairing at the 3rd anti-codon position. Lineage: Bacteria; Pseudomonadati; Campylobacterota; Epsilonproteobacteria; Campylobacterales; Arcobacteraceae. The record is from RNAcentral.